GAUGAACGCUAGCGGCAGGCCUAAUACAUGCAAGUCGAACGGGAUCUAUUUGGAGCUUGCUCUGAAUAGUGAGAGUGGCGCACGGGUGCGUAACGCGUGAGCAACCUACCCAUAUCAGGGGGAUAGCCUCUCGAAAGAGAGAUUAAUACCGCAUAACAUCAAUAAAUGGCAUCAUUUAUUGAUCAAAUAUUUAUAGGAUAUGGAUGGGCUCGCGUGACAUUAGUUAGUUGGUGAGGUAAUGGCUCACCAAGACGAUGAUGCAUAGCCGAGUUGAGAGACUGAUCGGCCACAAUGGGACUGAGACACGGCCCAUACUCCUACGGGAGGCAGCAGUAGGGAAUCUUCCACAAUGGGCGAAAGCCUGAUGGAGCAACGCCGCGUGUGUGAUGAAGGGUUUCGGCUCGUAAAACACUGUUGUAAGAGAAGAAUGACAUUGAGAGUAACUGUUCAAUGUGUGACGGUAUCUUACCAGAAAGGAACGGCUAAAUACGUGCCAGCAGCCGCGGUAAUACGUAUGUUCCAAGCGUUAUCCGGAUUUAUUGGGCGUAAAGCGAGCGCAGACGGUUAUUUAAGUCUGAAGUGAAAGCCCUCAGCUCAACUGAGGAAUUGCUUUGGAAACUGGAUGACUUGAGUGCAGUAGAGGAAAGUGGAACUCCAUGUGUAGCGGUGAAAUGCGUAGAUAUAUGGAAGAACACCAGUGGCGAAGGCGGCUUUCUGGACUGUAACUGACGUUGAGGCUCGAAAGUGUGGGUAGCAAACAGGAUUAGAUACCCUGGUAGUCCACACCGUAAACGAUGAGUGCUAGGUGUUUGGGGGUUUCCGCCCCUAAGUGCCGGAGCUAACGCAUUAAGCACUCCGCCUGGGGAGUACGACCGCAAGGUUGAAACUCAAAGGAAUUGACGGGGACCCGCACAAGCGGUGGAGCAUGUGGUUUAAUUCGAAGCAACGCGAAGAACCUUACCAGGUCUUGACAUCCCUUGACAACUCCGGAGAUGGAGCGUUCCCUUCGGGGACAAGGUGACAGGUGGUGCAUGGUUGUCGUCAGCUCGUGUCGUGAGAUGUUGGGUUAAGUCCCGCAACGAGCGCAACCCUUAUUACUAGUUGCCAGCAUUUAGUUGGGCACUCUAGUGAGACUGCCGGUGACAAACCGGAGGAAGGUGGGGAUGACGUCAAAUCAUCAUGCCCCUUAUGACCUGGGCUACACACGUGCUACAAUGGCGUAUACAACGAGUUGCCAACCCGCGAGGGUGAGCUAAUCUCUUAAAGUACGUCUCAGUUCGGAUUGUAGGCUGCAACUCGCCUACAUGAAGUCGGAAUCGCUAGUAAUCGCGGAUCAGCACGCCGCGGUGAAUACGUUCCCGGGUCUUGUACACACCGCC
RNAcentral lists this ribosomal RNA (1379 nucleotides) under uncultured bacterium. RNAcentral describes it as "bacterial SSU rRNA". It matches the Rfam family "Bacterial small subunit ribosomal RNA", at positions 28 to 1394 of the family's 1533-position model. The record is from RNAcentral.